UACGAAGGGGGCGAGCGUUGUUCGGAUUUACUGGGCGUAAAGGGCGCGCAGGCGGCUCAUUUUGUCAGGCGUGAAAGCCCCGGGCUUAACCUGGGAACUGCGUUUGAUACGGAUGGGCUAGAGUUCGGGAGAGGAGAGUGGAAUUCCCAGUGUAGAGGUGAAAUUCGUAGAUAUUGGGAAGAACACCGGUGGCAAAGGCGGCUCUCUGGACCGAUACUGACGCUGAGGCGCGAAAGCGUGGGGAGCAAACAGG
This 253-nucleotide ribosomal RNA is filed under the name uncultured bacterium. Its description in RNAcentral is "partial 16S ribosomal RNA". It matches the Rfam family "Bacterial small subunit ribosomal RNA", at positions 524 to 776 of the family's 1533-position model. The record is from RNAcentral.